UAAGUCCCAGUCCGGAUUGAAGGCUGAAAUUCGCCUUCAUGAAGCCGGAAUUGCUAGUAAUGGCAGGUCAGCAUACUGCCGUGAAUACGUUCCCGGGCCUUGUACACACCGCCCGUCACACCAUGAGAGUUGGGAAUACCCGAAGCCUGUGAGCUAACUUUUAGAGGCAGCAGUCGAAGGUAGAAUCAAUGAUUGGGGUGAAGUCGUAACAAGGUACC
This 218-nucleotide ribosomal RNA is filed under the name uncultured bacterium. Its description in RNAcentral is "partial 16S ribosomal RNA". It matches the Rfam family "Bacterial small subunit ribosomal RNA", at positions 1282 to 1500 of the family's 1533-position model. The record is from RNAcentral.